GACGAACGCUGGCGGCGUGCUUAACACAUGCAAGUCGAACGGAAAGGCCCUGCUUUUGUGGGGUGCUCGAGUGGCGAACGGGUGAGUAACACGUGAGUAACCUGCCCUUGACUUUGGGAUAACUUCAGGAAACUGGGGCUAAUACCGGAUAGGAGCUCCUGCUGCAUGGUGGGGGUUGGAAAGUUUCGGCGGUUUGGGAUGGACUCGCGGCUUAUCAGCUUGUUGGUGGGGUAGUGGCUUACCAAGGCUUUGACGGGUAGCCGGCCUGAGAGGGUGACCGGCCACAUUGGGACUGACAUACGGCCCGCACUCCUACGGGACGCAGCAGUGGGGAAUAUUGCACAAUGGGCGGAAGCCUGAUGCAGCAACGCCGCGUGCGGGAUGACGGCCUUCGGGUUGUAAACCGCUUUCGCCUGUGACGAAGCGUGAGUGACGGUAAUGGGUAAAGAAGCACCGGCUAACUACGUG
RNAcentral lists this ribosomal RNA (468 nucleotides) under uncultured bacterium. RNAcentral describes it as "partial 16S ribosomal RNA". It matches the Rfam family "Bacterial small subunit ribosomal RNA", at positions 28 to 507 of the family's 1533-position model. The record is from RNAcentral.